Molecule: ribosomal RNA, 411 nt
Filed under: uncultured bacterium
Lineage: Bacteria
Description: bacterial SSU rRNA
Rfam family: Bacterial small subunit ribosomal RNA
Source: RNAcentral
UCGAGGAUCUUCGGCAAUGGGCGCAAGCCUGACCGAGCGACGCCGCGUGAGCGAUGAAGGCCAUUAGGUUGUAAAGCUCUGUCGAGGGGGAACAAGCCGCAAGGUUGAGUGAUCCCUGGAGGAAGCACGGGCUAAGUUCGUGCCAGCAGCCGCGGUAAGACGAACCGUGCGAACGUUGUUCGGAAUCAUUGGGCUUAAAGGGCGCGUAGGCGGGUUGACAAGUCCGGGGUGAAAGCCUCCAGCUCAACUGGAGAAGAGCCCCGGAUACUGUCAGUCUGGAGAGGGAUAGGGGCACAUGGAACUUCCGGUGGAGCGGUGAAAUGCGUAGAGAUCGGAAGGAACGCCGGUGGCGAAAGCGAUGUGCUGGAUCUUUUCUGACGCUGAGGCGCGAAAGCUAGGGGAGCAAACGGG